AUGUCUGUGACUCCAUUUCCCUCUGCACUGUGGAGCUGGAUUCAUGUCACCAGGUCACUUGUGCUGUGUCCAGUCCAGUGGAACCCUCCAAAGAUGGAGAUUCUGCAAGUUCUGCUGAGUGUGAUUGCUGUAAUGCAUUGGAGUCAGGCAACAGAGCUUUGUAUCUGGGGGAUCUAACAGGUGUUGUCCAUUUAGGCUUGCAUGAGCCCACUGUGGAAGGGAUUACUUAAGCAGCUCAGGAUUCAAAAGUUAGCACAGUAAGUAAAAUCUUUACAUUAUUUUGUGAUUUGUGGUCAGUUUGUUCCCUUGUUUACCAAAUUAGUUGGGUUUUUUUCCCAGUUAAAUCUCUUUUAGAUUUAUUGGAGAGGUGACAAAAAUCUGAGAAUUGUCACUAUCACCAGUAUUUUAAAAUGGUCCCUUAAAAAGUGUGU
Molecule: long non-coding RNA, 431 nt
Filed under: Zonotrichia albicollis (white-throated sparrow)
Lineage: Eukaryota; Metazoa; Chordata; Aves; Passeriformes; Passerellidae
Description: lncRNA (ENSZALG00000015222.1)
Source: RNAcentral